AAUCAGUGCUGAAAAUCGUCUCUCAUCCGCCAAAACAUCUUCGGCGUUGUAAGGUUAAGCCUCACGGUUCAUUAGUACCGGUUAGCUCAACGCAUCGCUGCGCUUACACACCCGGCCUAUCAACGUCGUCGUCUUCAACGUUCCUUCAGGAGACCUAAAGUCUCAGGGAGAACUCAUCUCGGGGCAAGUUUCGUGCUUAGAUGCUUUCAGCACUUAUCUCUUCCGCAUUUAGCUACCGGGCAGUGCCAUUGGCAUGACAACCCGAACACCAGUGAUGCGUCCACUCCGGUCCUCUCGUACUAGGAGCAGCCCCCCUCAGUUCUCCAGCGCCCACGGCAGAUAGGGACCGAACUGUCUCACGACGUUCUAAACCCAGCUCGCGUACCACUUUAAAUGGCGAACAGCCAUACCCUUGGGACCUACUUCAGCCCCAGGAUGUGAUGAGCCGACAUCGAGGUGCCAAACACCGCCGUCGAUAUGAACUCUUGGGCGGUAUCAGCCUGUUAUCCCCGGAGUACCUUUUAUCCGUUGAGCGAUGGCCCUUCCAUUCAGAACCACCGGAUCACUAUGACCUGCUUUCGCACCUGCUCGCGCCGUCACGCUCGCAGUCAAGCUGGCUUAUGCCAUUGCACUAACCUCCUGAUGUCCGACCAGGAUUAGCCAACCUUCGUGCUCCUCCGUUACUCUUUAGGAGGAGACCGCCCCAGUCAAACUACCCACCAGACACUGUNNNNNNNNNNNNNNNNNNNNUCCACGUUAGAACAUCAAACAUUAAAGGGUGGUAUUUCAAGGUCGGCUCCAUGCAGACUGGCGUCCACACUUCAAAGCCUCCCACCUAUCCUACACAUCAAGGCUCAAUGUUCAGUGUCAAGCUAUAGUAAAGGUUCACGGGGUCUUUCCGUCUUGCCGCGGGUACACUGCAUCUUCACAGCGAGUUCAAUUUCACUGAGUCUCGGGUGGAGACAGCCUGGCCAUCAUUACGCCAUUCGUGCAGGUCGGAACUUACCCGACAAGGAAUUUCGCUACCUUAGGACCGUUAUAGUUACGGCCGCCGUUUACCGGGGCUUCGAUCAGGAGCUUCGCUUGCGCUGACCCCAUCAAUUAACCUUCCGGCACCGGGCAGGCGUCACACCGUAUACGUCCACUUUCGUGUUUGCACAGUGCUGUGUUUUUAAUAAACAGUUGCAGCCAGCUGGUAUCUUCGACUGACUUCAGCUCCAUGAGUAAAUCACUUCACCUACGUGUCAGCGUGCCUUCUCCCGAAGUUACGGCACCAUUUUGCCUAGUUCCUUCACCCGAGUUCUCUCAAGCGCCUUGGUAUUCUCUACCUGACCACCUGUGUCGGUUUGGGGUACGAUUUGAUGUUACCUGAUGCUUAGAGGCUUUUCCUGGAAGCAGGGCAUUUGUUGCUUCAGCACCGUAGUGCCUCGUCGUCACGCCUCAGUGUUAAAGUGAACCGGAUUUACCUGGAACACACACCUACACGCUUAAACCGGGACAACCGUCGCCCGGCCAACAUAGCCUUCUCCGUCCCCCCCUUCGCAGUAACACCAAGUACGGGAAUAUUAACCCGUUUCCCAUCGACUACGCCUUUCGGCCUCGCCUUAGGGGUCGACUCACCCUGCCCCGAUUAACGUUGGACAGGAACCCUUGGUCUUCCGGCGAGCGGGCUUUUCACCCGCUUUAUCGUUACUUAUGUCAGCAUUCGCACUUCUGAUACCUCCAGCAACCCUCACAGGCCACCUUCACAGGCUUACAGAACGCUCCCCUACCCAACAACACCUGAGUGUCGCUGCCGCAGCUUCGGUGCAUGGUUUAGCCCCGUUACAUCUUCCGCGCAGGCCGACUCGACCAGUGAGCUAUUACGCUUUCUUUAAAUGAUGGCUGCUUCUAAGCCAACAUCCUGGCUGUCUGGGCCUUCCCACAUCGUUUCCCACUUAACCAUGACUUUGGGACCUUAGCUGGCGGUCUGGGUUGUUUCCCUCUUCACGACGGACGUUAGCACCCGCCGUGUGUCUCCCGUGAUAACAUUCUCCGGUAUUCGCAGUUUGCAUCGGGUUGGUAAGCCGGGAUGGCCCCCUAGCCGAAACAGUGCUCUACCCCCGGAGAUGAAUUCACGAGGCGCUACCUAAAUAGCUUUCGGGGAGAACCAGCUAUCUCCCGGUUUGAUUGGCCUUUCACCCCCAGCCACAGGUCAUCCGCUAAUUUUUCAACAUUAGUCGGUUCGGUCCUCCAGUUAGUGUUACCCAACCUUCAACCUGCCCAUGGCUAGAUCACCGGGUUUCGGGUCUAUACCCUGCAACUUAACGCCCGGUUAAGACUCGGUUUCCCUCCGGCUCCCCUAUACGGUUAACCUUGCUACAGAAUAUAAGUCGCUGACCCAUUAUACAAAAGGUACGCAGUCACACAGGUAAACCUGUGCUCCCACUGCUUGUACGUACACGGUUUCAGGUUCUUUUUCACUCCCCUCGCCGGGGUUCUUUUCGCCUUUCCCUCACGGUACUGGUUCACUAUCGGUCAGUCAGGAGUAUUUAGCCUUGGAGGAUGGUCCCCCCAUAUUCAGACAGGAUACCACGUGUCCCGCCCUACUCAUCGAGCUCACAGCACAUGCGCUUUUGUGUAC
RNAcentral lists this ribosomal RNA (2623 nucleotides) under Salmonella enterica subsp. enterica serovar Paratyphi A. Its description in RNAcentral is "23S ribosomal RNA". Lineage: Bacteria; Pseudomonadati; Pseudomonadota; Gammaproteobacteria; Enterobacterales; Enterobacteriaceae. The record is from RNAcentral.